AAAGAAACCAACCGGGAUUACCUCAGUAACGGCGAGUGAAGCGGUAAGAGCUCAAAUUUGAAAUCUGGCCCCUCCGGGGUCCGAGUUGUAAUUUGCAGAGGAUGCUUCGGGUGCAGCCCCCAUCUAAGUUCCCUGGAACGGGACGUCAUAGAGGGUGAGAAUCCCGUAUGGGAUGGGGUGUCUGCGUCCGUGUGAAGCUCCUUCGACGAGUCGAGUUGUUUGGGAAUGCAGCUCUAAAUGGGUGGUAAAUUUCAUCUAAAGCUAAAUAUUGGCCGGAGACCGAUAGCGCACAAGUAGAGUGAUCGAAAGAUGAAAAGCACUUUGAAAAGAGAGUUAAACAGCACGUGAAAUUGUUGAAAGGGAAGCGCUUGCGACCAGACUCGCCUACGGGGUUCAGCCGGCUUUCGGGCCGGUGUACUUCCCCGUGGGCGGGCCAGCGUCGGUUUGGGCGGCCGGUCAAAGGCCUCGGGAAUGUAGCCCCUCUCGGGGGGCCUUAUAGCCCGGGGUGCAAUGCGGCCUGCCUGGACCGAGGAACGCGCUUCGGCACGGACGCUGGCAUAAUGGUCGUAAGCGAC
This 575-nucleotide ribosomal RNA is filed under the name Aspergillus stromatoides. RNAcentral describes it as "eukaryotic LSU rRNA". It matches the Rfam family "Eukaryotic large subunit ribosomal RNA", at positions 58 to 648 of the family's 3401-position model. Lineage: Eukaryota; Fungi; Ascomycota; Eurotiomycetes; Eurotiales; Aspergillaceae. RNAcentral also lists the same sequence under 1 other name. The record is from RNAcentral.